GGCUUGUCUAUUAUUAUGAACAUAUGCAUUGGCUUCCCAGCUAUUUGGAUUUAGGUUUCUUUAAGGAUCAUUUAGGUCAGCUGAUGCACCUUCCGGGGCAACUGAGUAUGAACCUCGUCCUCUUCCAGCCCUCCUGUGCCUACAUCUCUACUUCUCCCUCCCCUUGAAGCUAAAGCAGCUCUCCCAGGGUGAACUGUCGAGGAGAGCAUGGUCCACAGUGCUGCUCCCCUCUGGAUGGCUCCUCUGCACACACCUCAGUGGAGAACAGCCAGCCCUGUGUGUUCCACAUUUUGGAGAGAAUGAGGAUGUAAUGCCAGUUACUGGCUCUUUCCAGAGGCAGGACUCAACCCAAAUGGCACAGACAGUGGACUUACAGCACUGGGGUGUCCAAAGGCAGCUGCUGGAUCACACCUGGGGACUCCUGCUGAGCUCCUGUUGUGGAAGAGCUGGCAUAGACAGGAAGAAAAGCUGCUUUUAAGGCACGGUUGCAGUGGCGCAGAUGGAAUGUAAUCAACAACAGGCAUGUGAACACCUCGGGGUUGUGUGAGCACAGGGUGACUGAUCUUGCAGUGGAGGAGCUUCUUCCGAGUCCCAGGGCAGGUGUCCAUGUCGGAGGACACGAUUCCUGCUCACACACUCUCCAGCUGAAGGUGCCAGAAACAUCAAACCAGCAAUAUGCCAACAGACCCAGAGCACUUGGACUGUUUCACUUCACUCUCCUAAACUACCCCAUUGCAAUGAAUAAUACAAAGUGUUAAAAACACAGUAUUUUUUUUCCUAACUUCAGUGUUGGAGGUACUUUUACGAACAUGUGAAUAGUUAAGUAAUUUCUGAAGAAAAAUACGUGCUUAUCCAUAUUCAAGCACUAUAUUUUCAAGAGGCAUUUCUUUUUCCUUCAUGCUGGAUCAGAAAUAAAAAGAUUGCAGUUGUUGCAAAGUAGUCAAGGGGAAAGAGGACAACUGGGAGCAUUAAAAGCAGGCAAGUGUUUUUAUUUUUAUCUUGGUUUUGUUACUCUUCAAACUAAGACAUGACCUCACUGAGUUCUUUUCCUUCAACAAUGAUUUUCCAUUCACAGUGAGAGAAUCCAGGGUUUUGGUGAAACUCAAGCAAAAUACUAAAAUAAUUCUUUAAGCAAUAUAUAAAGAAUUCAUUGUCUUGUGAAGGCCAAACAAGUUUGAGUGCCAGCAAAAUAAUGCACUACCUCUCCCUGAUGGACAUUAUUGAUGCUGAGUAGCAUGGGGCUUGCACAGAUGGUAUUUAUUGCCAGCAAAAUACAAGAAAUGACUGGCUGGUGUCAAACUGAGCCAUGCAUUGGAAGCACUGCAUGAGAAACAGAGAAGAUAAGAAGUCAAGGGAACACGUUACAGAAGGGCCCUCUUGGCACAAGGCACUGCCAUCGACUCUUAUAACAAAUCCUCAGCCACACAGUAGCAGUUGCUGUCAGUGCAUAUCACUGUCCAUAGGGAACAACAGUCAUGACACCAGCUAAGUGUCUCUUCAUUUAUUUUCAGAACUUUGUAAACAGUCCAUCAGUGGUAAAGGAGACAGGCUAUUGAACAGGUUUGGUGUACAUUCUUUGAACAGGACCUGCUUAGGAGGUAGAAGCAGAGGUUUCCCUGAUUGCUUCCACAGCAAACUACUCAAAGGGUUUUCUUAAGACACCCCAAUAACCAAAGAAGACCAAAGGAGAAGGAGGGGACCCCCUUUGUCUCUGACAGCUCAAAGAAAUGGAGCAAAGAGCAUUUGCUCUGUAGAAUAACCCACAGAGGAGAAGGAAUUCUGCACAGAGGACGCUAAACUGCCAGGCAAUCAAGUCAACAUAUCUAACACCUAAAGAACCUUUUUUAAUUCUUUCUCCUUUUUUUUUUCCUAUGGGGGUGCUGAGUGAUCUCUGAAUAGAGUGAUUUUGAAACUGAGCUAAUAGCUAUGCUUUCCUAUUCCUUGUGUAGUCCUUAGUCACUGCAAGAUUUUAUACAGAAGCUGCAAUACUGAAUAUGAACAAGAAAGAGAGACACAUAAAUAUUCUGCUUGAAAGCAGCCAAUUAAACAUAUAACUUUUUAAAUGGGUAGAAGUGAAUAAACAGAAUCUUAAACAGAAAUUCAGCAUAAUUUUUUUAUUAUUUCGUACAACAAGAUGUAACCUUCAUAGUUCUCCAAGUGUUUGGAAAGCUGGAUGCAUAGUUCUAGAACAGACCUUGUCCUAGAGAAACUGCUGAGCACAGCUUUUACAUUGUUGUAUUAAUGCAAUUUAUUUACUGUGAAAUGUUCACAUUAUUGAAUCCUAUUUUUCUACCAGUUGGUCAUACUGUGAAAAGCAAACCAUUCAGCUUAAAUAAAUAAAACAAUACCAUUGUGCUGGUAAGU
Molecule: long non-coding RNA, 2364 nt
Organism: Myiozetetes cayanensis
Lineage: Eukaryota; Metazoa; Chordata; Aves; Passeriformes; Tyrannidae
Exons: 5
Source: RefSeq, a predicted model, not a curated record